This 496-nucleotide ribosomal RNA is filed under the name uncultured bacterium. RNAcentral's name for it is "partial 16S ribosomal RNA". It matches the Rfam family "Bacterial small subunit ribosomal RNA", at positions 29 to 507 of the family's 1533-position model. The record is from RNAcentral.
AUGAACGCUGGCGGCGUGCCUCAUCCAUGCCAUUCGCGCGAACGGACGAGAAGCUUGCUUCUCUGAUGUUAGCGGCGGACGGGUGAGUAACACGUGGAUAACCUACCUAUAAGACUGGGAUAACUUCGGGAAACCGGAGCUAAUACCGGAUAAUAUUUUGAACCGCAUGGUUCAAAAGUGAAAGACGGUCUUGCUGUCACUUAUAGAUGGAUCCGCGCUGCAUUAGCUAGUUGGUAAGGUAACGGCUUACCAAGGCAACGAUGCAUAGCCGACCUGAGAGGGUGAUCGGCCACACUGGAACUGAGACACGGUCCAGACUCCUACGGGAGGCAGCAGUAGGGAAUCUUCCGCAAUGGGCGAAAGCCUGACGGAGCAACGCCGCGUGAGUGAUGAAGGUCUUCGGAUCGUAAAACUCUGUUAUUAGGGAAGAACAUAUGUGUAAGUAACUGUGCACAUCUUGACGGUACCUAAUCAGAAAGCCACGGCUAACUACGUG